UUUAGAAUGCUGAGCUGACUCAAAGUCAAACUGAACACAUGAUUUUCUCUUCCUGAAGCAUGGGACCGAUAUUGUAGCUUACCCUCCAGGGCAGGAUAAUUUGCUCAUUGUGGAUUAGUUGCCUUCAGCAGAUGAAAACUCCUGAAAACAAUGGAAAUCAAGGAGUCAGAAUGAACGUCAAUGCCAUUGUUUUCAAUAAGCCUCACAAAUCAAGCAUGGAAAAGAGAUUGCUGGUGUACCUAACUGAAGACUUG
Molecule: long non-coding RNA, 254 nt
Filed under: Homo sapiens (human)
Lineage: Eukaryota; Metazoa; Chordata; Mammalia; Primates; Hominidae
Description: HSALNT0356283
Source: RNAcentral